This 1230-nucleotide long non-coding RNA is filed under the name Homo sapiens (human). RNAcentral describes it as "HSALNT0394748". Lineage: Eukaryota; Metazoa; Chordata; Mammalia; Primates; Hominidae. The record is from RNAcentral.
UUUGAUCAUACGUUCUUACAAUCAAAACUUAUAUUUUGAUUUGUACAUAUAUACAUAGUUUAAUCAUUUAAAUAAAUAGAUAAAUUAAUGUAUAUAUGUCCCUAUUUCCUAGGGAGAAAAAUAAGACAUUAAAAAAGAAUACAGAGUGCUAGGGAUGAUGAGUAUUUAUAAUGUUAAAUAGAAGGAUCAUCACCAAUAAAAGGUGAUAUUUGAAUAAAAAUCUCAAAAAAGUGAAGAGGAGGUCAUGCUGCAUUUAGGAGAAGCAUAGCUAAAAGGAAACACAAUUUAAAAACUUUGAGACAGAGCCUGCCUACUUUGCAUAAUGCACAACAGGAGAUCUAUGUGGCCAGAGUGGAGGAACCCUUGGCUUUGAGGAACAAAUCAACAAAUAUAUGGAACUUGCAAAAUACUUCUAUAAGGUUUUAAAGAAAAAAGAUAACUUUAAGCUUGUGUUUGAUGCAGAGUUGACGUCAUGGUCAUGGCAUGGAUGAAUGGAAGUUUGAAGGAAUUUGUAAACCAAAAUAUGGGGAAGAUGAUAACAUAGAUAUGAAAAUCCUCAAGAAUUAUGACUCAAGAGUUUAUUGGAGAAACAAGCAGAUCCCGUGCCAGACUAGGCCCUCUCUGAGGAAAGUAGCUACUUCUUUUAUCUCUGAAUCCAGGCCCUGACAUGUACUAAGCACAGAAAGAAACCUUUAUUUAAAUACAUAAACAUUAAGUGAGAUAAAUUAAAGUACUUCUGAAAUAAUGAAGUCACUAAAGAAUUAAGUGGAGUUUUUAUGGAUACUUGUAAAAUAUUUUUCUUUGAUUUAGCCUGAGUUCACUAAUGUCUGCUUCUGGUAUUUCCCAGCAAGGCUUAAACAUAUUCCAAAAGGUUUUGAAAGAGAUCAAGAACUCCGAAAGAUUGCUCCAAAGAUUAAAGCACAGAUGAUGAUGGAAGGCACAAUCAUGAUAAGCUACCAGCCAUGUGGAGACAAAGUAAAUAUUUUGCGAAUGGUUUUUUUCUAAUCCUGCCUCAAGACAGAAAGAUGUUGACUAUCUUAUUGAUGAAAUUGAAAGGCUUGGGAAGGAUUUAUGAUACUUCAAUGUGAACUUGGAUAUCCCAUGUAAACAUCAACUUAAUUCUAUUCCUAAGGAUAAUAAGAAAGGAAUAUUGAAACUGUUAUAAAAAUGUUAUGAAUAAGAACUUUUAAUUUUUAUUCUAUGCUAUGUAAGAUGAAAGGUAAGAUGAAA